CCUACGGGAGGCAGCAGUAAGGAAUAUUGGUCAAUGGACGAAAGUCUGAACCAGCCAUGCCGCGUGGAGGAUGAAGGUCCUCUGGAUUGUAAACUUCUUUUAUAUGGGACGAAAAAGGGGCUUUCUAGCCCAACUGACGGUACCAUAUGAAUAAGCACCGGCUAACUCCGUGCCAGCAGCCGCGGUAAUACGGAGGGUGCAAGCGUUAUCCGGAUUCACUGGGUUUAAAGGGAGCGUAGGUGGGCUGGUAAGUCAGUGGUGAAAUCUCCGGGCUUAACUUGGAAACUGCCAUUGAUACUAUCAGUCUUGAAUAUUGUGGAGGUCAGCGGAAUAUGUCAUGUAGCGGUGAAAUGCUUAGAUAUGACAUAGAACACCAAUUGCGAAGGCAGCUGGCUACACAUAUAUUGACACUGAGGCUCGAAAGCGUGGGGAUCAAACAGGAUUAGAUACCCUGGUAGUC
Molecule: ribosomal RNA, 460 nt
Filed under: uncultured Chitinophagaceae bacterium
Lineage: Bacteria; Pseudomonadati; Bacteroidota; Chitinophagia; Chitinophagales; Chitinophagaceae
Description: bacterial SSU rRNA
Rfam family: Bacterial small subunit ribosomal RNA
Source: RNAcentral